Molecule: ribosomal RNA, 433 nt
Filed under: uncultured bacterium
Lineage: Bacteria
Description: partial 16S ribosomal RNA
Rfam family: Bacterial small subunit ribosomal RNA
Source: RNAcentral
AACGAACGCUGGCGGCAUGCCUAACACAUGCAAGUCGAACGAGACCUUCGGGUCUAGUGGCGCACGGGUGCGUAACGCGUGGGAACCUGCCCUUAGGUUCGGAAUACCUCCCCGACAGGGGUGCUAAUACCGGAUAAUGUCUGCGGACCAAAGAUUUAUCGCCUUUGGAUGGGCCCGCGUUGGAUUAGCUAGUUGGUAGGGUAAAAGCCUACCAAGGCGACGAUCCAUAGCUGGUCUGAGAGGAUGAUCAGCCACACUGGGACUGAGACACGGCCCAGACUCCUACGGGAGGCAGCAGUGGGGAAUAUUGGACAAUGGGCGAAAGCAUGAUCCAGCAAUGCCGCGUGAGUGAUGAAGGCCUUAGGGUUGUAAAGCUCUUUUACCCGGGAUUAUAAUGACAGUACCGGGAGAAUAAGCUCCGGCUAACUCCGUG